This is a long non-coding RNA of Gopherus flavomarginatus (Mexican gopher tortoise), 2653 nucleotides long. RefSeq lists it as uncharacterized. NCBI's taxonomy places the organism in Eukaryota, Metazoa, Chordata, Testudines, Testudinidae. The record is from RefSeq and is a predicted model, not a curated record. The transcript is spliced from 2 exons.
UCCGACCCAUGGUGGGCUGACUCGGCCUGGCAUCGUCCGGUGAGGAAGCUACCUGGGUCUAGGAGUGUAUGUACCCAUCUUCCCUCCCCCUUUCCUUUCCGUGUGGGCUACUGACAGUCUGAUCAUCUCACUGGAUGCAAUCAGAGUAAGCGGCGCCGUCUCCCAGAGACUAACCGACGCUCUUUGCUGAAGGGAAGUGUAGGAGGGUCGUGGCCAUCCUCGUUAGCUUCUCCUGUGUGAGUAUCCUGUAGGGAAAAAUCCUUAGUUUAUGAGCUGCUAGCGCGGACAGGGCACCCUCCCAGUGUGUGUAAGUGGAAAAUGGGGGAGGGGCAGUCUAAACAUUCCAUCUCACCCCCUAAGAGUACCCCAGCAUAUUACAUGUACGUACAUUAUGGUUCAACAACCUGCAGGUAUUUAGAGAAUUGGAAUAUUUACAUGCUUGAAAAUCCAUCUAAACAAUGCCCACUAGAAGGUACUUCAAUCUAGAUAAGAUCAUACAUCAAAGAGGAGCGUUUAAUCACCAAAAAGCCCUGACACAGCAUGAGCAAAUUUGUCUAUUGAGGAAAGGAGCGGGUUAAUUUAAAAAUCAUCUUGGCCCAAGGAUGGAAGGGGUUGGGGCUGCUCUGCAUUCAGGGUCAGGAAUCGGCGCGGACUGUGCUUGGUGCAGGGAGGGGCUGCUUUCAGCCCCAGCUGGCUGUGAAAAAAUAUAGACAGAGACGAACCAAAGGCAAUACAAGUUACAGAACUGAGAUUACAUUUGCAAAGCUUAACUGUCCAGUAAGUGUGCCUUUGUGACCCUGGAGUCAGUGUGGCUUGGUGAGACCAAAGAAGCCACAGGCAGCCGACCUGGACUGGAAUCUCUGAAAGAGACGCCGCAGGAGAUUCCAGGGUGUAAGAGAACAGCCCUCCCAAGAGCAAAAGCAUGUUGGAAAUUCUGGACAAGCUGUAUACAGGAUAAUCUCCUGUCCACCUCUCCCCCUCCUCUGAACAUUAUACACAGAAGUGGCCAGUCUGGACGUACGUGUAUAAUCAGAAAAAACUGAUGCCAGCUGAACAGCAUUCAACAUACCAUGCAUUUACUGGCACAAUAGAAAUUAUGUUUUGUGUUCUAUGUUCUGUCUUGUGGUGUUUGUCUUGUGGCCGGAAUUUUUGUGUUUAAUAUUUUUAUAAAAUAGUCUAGUUUAAAAUCAAACAAAAAGGUUAAAUUAAAAUGCAGAUACUUGUUUUGUUCAAUUUGGAAUACAAAGUGUUUGGGUAAAUCAGAAGAAUGUAAUAUACUAAAGUCUAAUGCAUUUCCUCAAGGAAAAGAAACUUCAUUGGUCAAACUGUUAAUUGCAAAAAUUGUUAAAAUUUGCAUACCAACAGUCUUUGAAAGCAAGGACAUGAAAAGUUAACCCACUCCCCAUAUUGUAUAUGGGAUCUUUCUGGCUACCUCAAAUUUCUAGCCAGAGGGCUGGGGAUGGUGGAAAGCUAUUGGAUUAGAGAUUAAAUUUAAUGAACUCCUCAAAGUGAGUGUGCUUGUCCUAGUUUGUUGCUCCAAAGCUCUGUAAUAAGGUUAUUUUAGUAAAAGGGUGUGUGUGUGGCAUAUAUUAAAUAAUAAGACUAAUGUACUGUAUAAUGACAAUGUUUAUGUCUUCAUUGUUGGGAAAAAGGUGUAUAAGUAAAAUGUGGAAGUUUCCUUUGCAGGUUAAAAGAAGACAAGAAAGGAAGAAGAACAAAGCACAGAAUGAGUAAACGGGAAAAAAAAAAGAAUUAGUUAACAAGCUCAGGCUGUAGAUAAGACACUGACUCCAUUCAAGGACACUGCUCACAGUUAAGACUUGGCUAACAACUAGGAAAAGAAGGGCUUGAAUUUGCCCACACAGCUAUGAGAUCUGAAAAACACUGCCAGGCACUAAUGAAAUGUGUAAGUUUCUUUUCUCACAGAUAAAGAAGCGCUACCCAAAGACCCUAGCAGCCCUGCCACUCCUUGGAACCAGGAGACGGGAUUGAUGUAAAGGUCCACCGAUGAAAGACUGCCUUGGCUGCAUGCUGGAAAGGCCCUUAAGUCCCGGUGACUACCAACACUGCUGUGAAGUGCCAAAGACUGACUGCUUGGACCCAAGAUUCUCACUGCAAAAAGACCCCUCCACAUCGGGAGAAUUCUCCUACUGAUGAUUAGCCUAUUCCACCUUCUAGCUCCACUGUGCCUUUUGGACAGCAGGGAAAAAGUACAAGGUGACGUGCUAGUAACCUCUCCCUUAUCCACUGACAGAUCUACUGUGCCUUUGAAUUUUUCUAGAAGAAUCAAAACCAUUACAGGGUUAUGUGCUAGUAACCUCUGCCCUGUAGGAUGCUGCAUCACGACUGUUUUGGGAAAGAAGAAGGAACACUCGCUCCACUGAAAUUGCCAAAGUCCAGGAAUUCCUGACUAGAAAGGACAUUAAGAACUGACCCUGGUGAAGAAACAAAGAAUUAUACACUGGUGGGAGGACAUUUGUGGGACCCAUGUUUGGGAAUGUGGUAUUGAAUGGAUUUUGGGGUUUAUUCUACAGGCUGCGCCCUGUGUUUUGGAUAAAUCCCUCAGCAUAUAUAGCUCUCUCUAAUUGGAUUUUAAAUAACAAGUACCCAAAAGUUUGUUCUGCUACUAAAAAUUUUACCCAUAUUGAAACCA